Molecule: ribosomal RNA, 485 nt
Filed under: uncultured bacterium
Lineage: Bacteria
Description: bacterial SSU rRNA
Rfam family: Bacterial small subunit ribosomal RNA
Source: RNAcentral
AUUGAACGCUGGCGGCAUGCCUUACACAUGCAAGUCGAACGGCAGCACGGGAGCAAUCCUGGUGGCGAGUGGCGAACGGGUGAGUAAUAUAUCGGAACGUGCCCAGUCGUGGGGAUAACGUAGCGAAAGUUACGCUAAUACCGCAUACGAUCUAAGGAUGAAAGCGGGGGAUCGCAAGACCUCGCGCGAUUGGAGCGGCCGAUAUCAGAUUAGGUAGUUGGUGAGGUAAAGGCUCACCAAGCCAACGAUCUGUAGCUGGUCUGAGAGGACGACCAGCCACACUGGAACUGAGACACGGUCCAGACUCCUACGGGAGGCAGCAGUGGGAAUUUUGGACAAUGGACGCAAGUCUGAUCCAGCCAUUCCGCGUGCAGGAUGAAGGCCCUCGGGUUGUAAACUGCUUUUGUACGGAACGAAAGGUUUGUCUUAAUACGAUGAGCUCAUGACGGUACCGUAAGAAUAAGCACCGGCUAACUACGUGCCAG